This is a long non-coding RNA of Fukomys damarensis (Damara mole-rat), 422 nucleotides long. RefSeq lists it as uncharacterized. The record is from RefSeq and is a predicted model, not a curated record. The transcript is spliced from 3 exons. NCBI's taxonomy places the organism in Eukaryota, Metazoa, Chordata, Mammalia, Rodentia, Bathyergidae.
AAGAAAGUCAUGGAAAAUUUCUGAAGUAGAGGUUUUGAAGAGAUGGACAUAAAAAAGGAAGCAAUCAAUUUCAUUAGAACCUGUACUUCUGUUUAUCAUUCAACAGUUGCAUAAGUGGAAAAAUGCAGUGAAUGAGUUAUCUCGUGCUAUCCAUCUUCAGCCAGAUGGAAUUCAACUAUAUAUAAUAAGAGGACAAUAUCUUCUUAUGAUGAAAUGUUAUGAUCUUGCAAAGUUUACUAUUUAUCAAGUAGCAGAGAUAAACAAAGGUCUCAUUGGGUUGAGUCCCAUUCAACAAGCACACAUUUAUUCAUUUUGUGAAAACCAUGACAAGGCCAUUCAGGUCUUGGAUGGGAUAUCGUGGCAUAGGUCGGAGAUGACCAUGUUUACAUUAUUAGCAAAAGCCCAAAUGAAGGCCAAGAAAA